RNAcentral lists this ribosomal RNA (404 nucleotides) under uncultured Bacillota bacterium. Its description in RNAcentral is "bacterial SSU rRNA". It matches the Rfam family "Bacterial small subunit ribosomal RNA", at positions 356 to 774 of the family's 1533-position model. The record is from RNAcentral. Lineage: Bacteria; Bacillati; Bacillota.
AGGGAAUCUUCCACAAUGGACGAAAGUCUGAUGGAGCAACGCCGCGUGAGGGAAGAAGGUCUUCGGAUUGUAAACCUUUGUCCUAUGGGACGAAACAAAUGACGGUACCAUAGGAGGAAGCUCCGGCUAACUACGUGCCAGCAGCCGCGGUAAUACGUAGGGAGCAAGCGUUGUCCGGAAUUACUGGGCGUAAAGGGUGCGUAGGUGGCCAAAUAAGUCAGGUGUGAAAGACCGGGGCUCAACCCCGGGGUUGCACUUGAAACUGUAUGGCUUGAGUACAGGAGAGGGAAGUGGAAUUCCUAGUGUAGCGGUGAAAUGCGUAGAUAUUAGGAGGAACACCAGUGGCGAAGGCGACUUUCUGGACUGUAACUGACACUGAGGCACGAAAGCGUGGGGAGCAAACA